This 460-nucleotide ribosomal RNA is filed under the name uncultured bacterium. RNAcentral's name for it is "partial 16S ribosomal RNA". It matches the Rfam family "Bacterial small subunit ribosomal RNA", at positions 338 to 795 of the family's 1533-position model. The record is from RNAcentral.
CCUACGGGCGGCUGCAGUGAGGAAUAUUGGUCAAUGGGCGCGAGCCUGAACCAGCCAAGUCGCGUGAGGGAAGACGGCCCUACGGGUUGUAAACCUCUUUUGCCGGGGAGCAACGGGCGCCACGUGUGGCGCCACUGAGAGUACCCGGAGAAAAAGCAUCGGCUAACUCCGUGCCAGCAGCCGCGGUAAUACGGAGGAUGCGAGCGUUAUCCGGAUUUAUUGGGUUUAAAGGGUGCGUAGGCGGACUGUUAAGUCAGCGGUAAAAGCCCGGGGCUCAACCCCGGCGAGCCGUUGAAACUGGCUGUCUUGAGAUGUCGAGAGGUAUGCGGAAUGCGCAGUGUAGCGGUGAAAUGCUUAGAUAUUGCGCAGAACUCCGAUUGCGAAGGCAGCAUACCGGCGGCGAUCCGACGCUGAGGCACGAAAGCGUGGGUAUCGAACAGGAUUAGAUACCCUUGUAGUC